Molecule: unclassified non-coding RNA, 300 nt
Filed under: Phylloporus sp.
Lineage: Eukaryota; Fungi; Basidiomycota; Agaricomycetes; Boletales; Boletaceae
Description: partial contains small subunit ribosomal RNA and internal transcribed spacer 1
Rfam family: Eukaryotic small subunit ribosomal RNA (bases 1-46)
Source: RNAcentral
AAGUCGUAACAAGGUUUCCGUAGGUGAACCUGCGGAAGGAUCAUUAACACUUUAAUGAGUCCAAACCAUUGGAUUUCAACCAACCCGUACGAACCUAUUUUCAUUCCGGUUAUUCUGCGUGUUUCUGUGAUGCUUCUUUCUUUUCGUAAGAGAGCACGCAUACAGAAAAAGCAAGUAACCCGUCCCUGUAAACAUUUUCUCUAACGAUUUUGAACUCAACUGACUAAAACUUUUUUUGCAUUACUGCUGGGGGAAACCUCAUCUGGUAAUUCAAAUCAAAAACAUAACGCGAAACAACUC